RNAcentral lists this non-coding RNA (20 nucleotides) under Arabidopsis thaliana (thale cress). The record is from RNAcentral. RNAcentral also lists the same sequence under 1 other name. Lineage: Eukaryota; Viridiplantae; Streptophyta; Magnoliopsida; Brassicales; Brassicaceae.
GAGAAUCUUGAUGAUGCUGC